UACGUAGGGGGCAAGCGUUAUCCGGAUUUACUGGGUGUAAAGGGAGCGUAGACGGAAGAGCAAGUCUGAUGUGAAAGGCUGGGGCUUAACCCCAGGACUGCAUUGGAAACUGUUGAUCUUGAGUACUGGAGAGGCAGACGGAAUUCCUAGUGUAGCGGUGAAAUGCGUAGAUAUUAGGAGGAACACCAGUGGCGAAGGCGGCUUACUGGACGACAACUGACGCUGAGGCUCGAAAGCGUGGGGAGCAA
This 248-nucleotide ribosomal RNA is filed under the name uncultured Roseburia sp. RNAcentral describes it as "partial 16S ribosomal RNA". It matches the Rfam family "Bacterial small subunit ribosomal RNA", at positions 524 to 771 of the family's 1533-position model. The record is from RNAcentral. Lineage: Bacteria; Bacillati; Bacillota; Clostridia; Lachnospirales; Lachnospiraceae.